UAUAUUUGAGAGCAAAAUAUCGGCACUGCAAUCAAAAAAAUGUUUUAUAAGUAAAAUAAAUUUGAUUAAAAAUGUAUUAAUGCGAAUCCAAAAGUUUUGCUCGCUGUUGAGCUGAAUCUCGUGGGCAGGACCUAUGCUGAAAUAUGUAAGACACGUCUCUAUUGGCCACUGUAUAGUUCCAACGUUGAAUUCAGAGACUGUAAAGGUUGAACCCCAUUCAUUUUCAGGCACGCUUGCUGGUAAGUUGAUGAAAUGACUGCAUUUUUUGACAUUUUAACGCAUUAGUGGACUGUGGCAAUGUGAGUGCUACCGCUCAGUAUAAGAGCUAGAGAUAGAGACCAGACUUUGUUUGAGCGAAAGUUCGUUCAUUUAUUUUUCCAGCCGACACACGGCUUUCGGUUUACAUACACAAAAUUACUAAAUCAAACGGAGUUCGCAGUGCAGCAGUUCCCCGUCUCCAGCCAGCUCCCGUCUGCCUCCGGAGACCGCCUUUUGAGCACCCAGGCUCACUGUCAAGGGCUGACAUGUGAAAGCAUGGGAGACUAGCUUUGAUGACCUAGCAAGCCAGCUAUCUAUAAAGGAUCCAAAAAGCAACAAGUCUGAGGUUUGUGAGCGGCAGUCGUGACAGCAGAGCCCAUAUCAGGCACUACCAACAACAGGAGUGGAAGUCCAUGGGUCGGGGAACAGACUGGACCUUUAUCCUCUCCCUGGACAUAUUAUAUAAUAAAAUCUUUUGUUGAAUGCAAUUGGUUACCUUGUAUAUUAUGUACUAUUGACCAAACUUCUUUGUUGGCUUAAAUUGAGCAGUUGCUGGCAUGAUUGAUAUUUAGAUUAGAUUCAACUUUAUUGUCAUUGCACAAAGUACAAGCACUGAGACAACGAAAUGCAGUUUAGCA
Anguilla anguilla (European eel) is the source of this 896-nucleotide long non-coding RNA. RefSeq lists it as uncharacterized. The record is from RefSeq and is a predicted model, not a curated record. NCBI's taxonomy places the organism in Eukaryota, Metazoa, Chordata, Actinopteri, Anguilliformes, Anguillidae. The transcript is spliced from 3 exons.